CGGAGGAGCGCGGCAGGCCGAGCGCUGGGAGCGAGGUGGCUCAGACAUGGACCGCAGCGAGCAAGGUCUGCUGAAGACAGAGCCAGUGGCCGAGGAAGGAGAGGAUGCUGUUACCAUGCUCAGUGCUCCAGAGACGCUGACGGAAGAGGAGCAAGAGGAGCUGAGGCGGGAGCUUACUAAGGUAGAAGAAGAAAUCCAGACUCUGUCCCAAGUAUUGGCCGCAAAAGAGAAGCAUCUCGCCGAGCUCAAGCGGAAGCUUGGCAUCUCCUCGCUUCAGGAGUUCAAGCAGAACAUUGCCAAAGGGUGGCAAGACGUGACGGCAACCAAUGCAUACAAGAAGACAUCUGAAACUCUAUCACAAGCUGGGCAGAAGGCCUCCGUUGCAUUUUCAUCGGUUGGCUCAGUCAUCACCAAAAAGCUGGAAGACGUGAAAAACUCCCCAACUUUCAAGUCAUUUGAAGAAAAAGUUGAAAAUUUAAAGUCUAAAGUAGGAGGAGCCAAGCCUGCUGGNGGCGAUUUUGGAGAAGUCCUGAAUUCCACAGCCAACGCUACCAGUACCAUGACCACAGAGCCUCCUCCAGAACAGACGACAGAGAGCCCCUGAGCUGCCGACCUGUGUCCUGCUGCCCACUGCCAGGUGCUGCCAGCGAGAGCCAAGCACAUCUUGACAACGCUCAUGGCUGCGGAUUUCCACCAGAUGUGCUUUUAUUUAGCUUUACUUAUUUCUUUGACCAAAUAGUUGAUAAAUGAAACAAAGUGAAAUCACCUUCACCUGCACUCCAGGGAAACACUGUUCACAUGCACGGAAGGCCCUUUGUAUAGGCAACAGCAUCAUAGAGCCUCUGGUAGAUCCCUGCAGGCAACUACUGUGUUUCUCCUUAAAAUCACUGUACAUCUGGAUUCUAGUUUGAUCUUUCUUUACUAUCUUCAUGAGUCAUUGUUUUUGGGUCUCUGUACACUUAAUCAAUUUCUAACAAACUGUUCUUUUCUAAAUUCUGGUUAUUAAAAGUCUUGGAAUGAUUUCAUUACUUUCAAAGGAGAAACNACCAGGUACAUUUUUUUCUCGGAUAAACAGUUCUAUGAGGACCAUAUCUUGGGUUUCUAAAGACACCAGACUGAAGUAGACAGGUGUGUAUGCAGUUCCAUAAUUCUGUAAAUUAAAAACAUGCAGACACUCAAACUUCCAGUGGGGAGAGUGUGGGUCCUCCUGCCUUGGUAACUGUCAUUUGUAGCUACAUCUAUUUGAGCAUAUCAGUUAUUUAUUAUACCAUUCUCACACAUUUUUUUUUACAAGAUUAAAAGUUAAUUUCAGAUAAAUUGAUAGAAUAACAUUGUGAGUUAAGUAUAUGAUAUUACAGUAAGUUUGAAUGUUCCCACAUUCAUCACUGAUAAUUCCAAAAGUCUAAAAGUCUUUAGGUCUAUACAGCUAUAAAAAUGCUAAAAAAAAAUUCACCUUAGGGAAAAUUACUGCCUCCAUUAAAUCCAUUUAACACCUUUAGGAAGCACAGAAAGUUCUAUGAGAAAUACAACUUGAAUAUUUUUUUAUACUAAGGUAUUGUUGAUAACUCCGAAGGCUGUGAGGCGUUACUACGACUGAGCUUAUCAGGCUGUACCUGUUCUCAGUGUGUUAGUGCCUGAGCUGUACUGUAUGUAGAUUUGUUCCUACUCUAAGAACUGUCGGGGCUGUGAGUCAAAGCUUCCCAGUGGCUCUGCUAAGCUCCUCUAUUAACUGUGGUCACUCCUGACUCACUCCUGCUUCCUUUGCUGUGUAUGUUUAUGGCCUAUGAGGUUGUAUCUGUUACUUCUCUAUUGUGGUUUUACCAGUGUCCAUGCCAAAUGUUAAUUGCCAAGCUUGGAGUGACCUAAAGCAUUUUUCAGAGCAUGACUAGAUUUAAUUGAGGAUAAGGUUUCUGCAAACCAGAAUUGAAAAGCCACAGUGUCGGUUGUUACAAAAUGACAUGCUGCCAUUCCUGGUUGCUACUUGGAUGCAAUGGAAACUAUGCUUGAUUACAUGUGAAAAUCUUAAUAAAGUCUGUGUCUCA
Non-coding RNA from Mus caroli (Ryukyu mouse), 2042 nucleotides. NCBI's taxonomy places the organism in Eukaryota, Metazoa, Chordata, Mammalia, Rodentia, Muridae. The record is from RefSeq and is a predicted model, not a curated record.